RNAcentral lists this transfer RNA (73 nucleotides) under Cotesia glomerata. Its description in RNAcentral is "tRNA-Thr". Lineage: Eukaryota; Metazoa; Arthropoda; Insecta; Hymenoptera; Braconidae. The record is from RNAcentral.
GUCUCUGAUAGCUUAACUGGUAGAGCCUUCGGCGCGUAACUAAAUUAUCUGAGUUUGAAUCCCGGUCUAGACU